Long non-coding RNA from Sitophilus oryzae (rice weevil), 154 nucleotides. RefSeq lists it as uncharacterized. Lineage: Eukaryota; Metazoa; Arthropoda; Insecta; Coleoptera; Curculionidae. The transcript has 3 exons. The record is from RefSeq and is a predicted model, not a curated record.
UUACCAACUUCCUCUGAAGUGACAUGGAAGGUUUCUACUGAAGUUAUUAGUAACUUAAAACAAGGUCUGGUGUCUUUGUUCAAUGACAGUUUCAGCAAACAGCUCUUGGAGACUGCACAGGAUCGAUCGGAGUCGGAUAAGAACUUUGUGGAAG